RNAcentral lists this ribosomal RNA (366 nucleotides) under uncultured bacterium. Its description in RNAcentral is "partial 16S ribosomal RNA". It matches the Rfam family "Bacterial small subunit ribosomal RNA", at positions 338 to 701 of the family's 1533-position model. The record is from RNAcentral.
CCUACGGGAGGCAGCAGGGAGGAAUAGUGGGCAAGGGACGAGAGUCUGAACCAGCCAAGGAGCGUGAAGGAUGACGGCCCGAUGGGUUGUAAACUUCUGGUAUAAAGGAAUAAAACGAGGCACGUGUGCCUUUUUGCAUGUACUUUAUGAAUAAGGAUCGGCUAACUCCGUGCCAGCAGCCGCGGUAAUACGGAGGAUCCGAGCGUUAUCCGGAUUUAUUGGGUUUAAAGGGAGCGUAGAUGGGUUGUUAAGUCAGUUGUGAAAGUUUGCGGCUCAACCGUAAAAUUGCAAUUGAGACUGGCAGUCUUGAGUACAGUUGAGGUAGGCGGAAUUCGUGGUGUAGCGGUGAAAUGCUUAGAUAUCACG